Molecule: small RNA, 27 nt
Filed under: Bombyx mori (domestic silkworm)
Lineage: Eukaryota; Metazoa; Arthropoda; Insecta; Lepidoptera; Bombycidae
Description: ovarian small RNA-33398
Source: RNAcentral
UGCAAUCGAUAAAUCGGUAGCAAGGUA